UGUAAGCGUAUACCAAAGUUGUUGCAGUUAAAACGCUCGUAGUCGGAAUUUGGCAGUUCCGGAAGUGUGCACGUCGUGUGCGCACUUUGCGGGGACUGCUUUUGUGGUCUUGCGUAGGAUGAGGCACUUUCAUUAGUGAACGUCCUCACGCAACCACUCUUUACUGCGAGAAAAUCAGAGUGCUCAAAGCAGGCAUUUGCCGUGAAUGUAUUAGCAUGGAAUAAUAGAAUAGGACCCGGUUCUAUUUUGUUGGUUUGUUGGGACUGAGUAAUGAUUAAGAGGGACAGUUGGGGGCAUUUGUAUUCCGGCGCUAGAGGUGAAAUUCUUAGAUUGCCGGAAGACAAACUGCUGCGAAAGCGUCUGCCAAGGAUGUUUUCAUUGA
RNAcentral lists this ribosomal RNA (382 nucleotides) under uncultured eukaryote. RNAcentral describes it as "partial 18S ribosomal RNA". It matches the Rfam family "Eukaryotic small subunit ribosomal RNA", at positions 592 to 976 of the family's 1831-position model. The record is from RNAcentral.